AUUUCCAUCCCGGCCCCUCACACUGUGUGUAAGGUUUAAGCUUCUGUCGCAUAUGGGGCAAUGUGUUUGAUCUGUAGGGGUGUGGAGCUAUGUGCGUUUAUCUUCACGUGUGUGUGUUGGUGAGCGCCUGUGUGUGGAUAUUCAUGUGAAUGGUUGCAUUCAGAAUGUUAUUGUGACUCAAAAACAGAAUUACCUGGAAAAACUCAGCAGGUCUGGCAGCAUCGGCGGAGAAGAAAAGAGUUGACGUUUCGAGUCCUCAUGACCCUUCGACAGAACUUGGAUUUCCAGCAUCCGCAGUUUUUUUGUUUUUAUCUAUGUUAUUGUGACUUCCUCUUUCAGAUGCCAAUCCACCUGCUCUGCAUGUUUAUAACUUUAUUUUGUUUUCAAACAAGAUGUUUAAUUCAUGGCAAAGCGGCAAACAUUCACCACUGUUCUCAGUGACAUGCUACUGUAUUAACACAUCAAGCAAAACAAUUUUUAAUGCAUAUUUGGAAACAGCCACAUCAUGCAGAGAGCAGUGAAAACUAUAGAGAAUAACACAAGAGAUAGUGGACACUCAAAGAGGUACCUUCUGAUUUUUGUUGUUAAAUAGUGAAUGAAGCUGAUACCAUGUGUCUUUUUUGCUAAAUCCCUCUAACGUAACUUAUUUGAGAACAUUUUGAAAAGAUUUUGAAAACAUGUUAAAGGAUCUCUGAUAAUUAAACUGGUUUGCUCCAGA
Long non-coding RNA from Carcharodon carcharias (great white shark), 718 nucleotides. RefSeq lists it as uncharacterized. The record is from RefSeq and is a predicted model, not a curated record. The transcript has 2 exons. NCBI's taxonomy places the organism in Eukaryota, Metazoa, Chordata, Chondrichthyes, Lamniformes, Lamnidae.